GGGGAGUUUUGGGGACCCCCUGGGGUUAUUGGGGGGGGCCCUAACCCCAAUCCCACCCCCCAAACCCCAAUUCCUCCCUCCCUUGCGGCAGCUCUUGGAUCCGGAGCCGUCGGAGCCGAUGGCGGCCGAGACCUACGGGAACUUCGACACUCAGUCCCGCCGCUAUUACUACCUGAGCCAGGAGCCCCCCGAGGAGGGGUCGGGGCAGCGCUGCCGUGAGCUGGAGCAGCAGGUGGCCACGCUGCAGGAGGAGAAGGGGCACCUGGCCGCCGAGAACCGCGCGCUGCGGGAGCAGCUCGAGCGCGACGCCGCC
RNAcentral lists this long non-coding RNA (313 nucleotides) under Lonchura striata (white-rumped munia). RNAcentral describes it as "domestica (Bengalese finch) lncRNA (ENSLSDG00000001202.1)". Lineage: Eukaryota; Metazoa; Chordata; Aves; Passeriformes; Estrildidae. The record is from RNAcentral.